This 442-nucleotide ribosomal RNA is filed under the name uncultured bacterium. Its description in RNAcentral is "SSU rRNA". It matches the Rfam family "Bacterial small subunit ribosomal RNA", at positions 26 to 518 of the family's 1533-position model. The record is from RNAcentral.
AGAGCGAACGCUGGCGGCAGGCCUAACACAUGCAAGUCGAGCGCCCCGCAAGGGGAGCGGCAGACGGGAGAGUAACACGUGAGAACGUACCCUUCAGUUCGGAACAACCCAGGGAAACUUGGGCUAAUACCGAAUACGUCCGUAAGGAGAAAGAUUUAUCGCUGAAGGAUCGGCCCGCGUCUGAUUAGCUAGUUGGUGAGGUAACGGCUCACCAAGGCUACGAUCAGUAGCUGGUCUGAGAGGAUGAUCAGCCUCACUGGGACUGAGACACGGCCCAGACUCCUACGGGAGGCAGCAGUGGGGAAUAUUGGACAAUGGGCGCAAGCCUGAUCCAGCCAUGCCGCGUGGAUGAUGAAGGCCUUAGGGUUGUAAAGUCCUUUCGACGGGGAAGAUAAUGACGGUACCGUAGAAGAGCCCCGGCUAACUUCGUGCCAGCAGCCGC